GUUUAUUAAUAUUAUUAAAGUAUGGAUAUUAUCACUAAAUAAAUUGGUUUUUUUGAUUAGUUAGCUAAAUUUUCCUUUCUUUUAAGCCUAUUCCCAGGCCCAAUCCCAUUUUCCUUUAAUAUCCAGCCAUAAAGUCGACCCUACCCACCUCCCUAACCACUCAGACCCGGCCCAAUUUCCACUCCCAAAAAGAUACCCAAAGAACCUAUAAGUUCAACCCAACGUGACCGGACCCCUACGUCUCGUCUUCUUCUCUGUGUGAACUCCAGACGCGAACCAGAACGUGAGUCCAGCUGCCUAGCGCGUCGCAUCCCUCUCCUCUGUCCUUUUCUAUCUGUAUGUGAGCAGUGCUAUGUGGAGCAAUCUCCUUUCUUGAGUGUCGUUUUUAAAAAAUCAAACGGCUACUUUCAAAGUUCCAGUAGAAAUUGGUACAGUGACAAUAUUUCACCUUAUCUCCAAUUCGAAUUUCAAAUUCGGGAUAACAUACAAAAUCUGCCUGAUUUUCCCCCUAUUCCGAACCCUAUAAAUUCCCUAUAUAUACCCUCUUCUCCAUUCAUUGAAAGGCGGGGGUUCUUCACUGAAAAAAUAAAAGUAAGAAAUAUUCUAUCGGGAUAUAGAGAAAUAUGAUUGUAUAAAAAGCAGUAGAACAGGGAGGAGAACAAAUAUUUUUUUAUAUCGAAGUUUCACCCGCUCUGUCCAUUAGUUGGGAAUUUUCAUGGUUUAGAGUCCUUGUUGGUGGGAUAAUAUGCUCCUGCUCGUCUAGUAUCACUCCUGCCCGGAAAGGAUUCAAGGUUAAUGUAGGGUCUAUGGCAAAACAUAAACAAGUUUAAGUUGAACAAUCUAUUGAAGAAUUGAGAUCCAUGAAAAAAAAAGAUCCAAUGGCAAUUCAUAAAGUCAUCAACGACGCGAAAUCUAGCGGCAUUAAGAUUGUUGAAGGUGGAAGUAAGAGAAAAGUCGUAAAACAUUGAUUCAAAAGAGAUUGAAUCUGCCUCAUCAGAAGUGGACAAAUCUGAAGAAUAUCGGGAACAUCAGGUUGUGUAAUUUAUAUACAAAUUACAAAGUUAUGUAUAUAGUGGUUUGUAUAUUAAGUUAAUAUAUACAAUGUAUUAUGAAACAGUUCUUAAUUGUAUAUUCUAUUAGUUGUAUACCAAUUACUAAAGUUAGGUAUAUAAUGGGUUGUAUAUUAAGGUAACAUAUACAAAGUCUUAUGAGGCAAUAGCUAUUUCUAUACAA
Molecule: long non-coding RNA, 1233 nt
Organism: Solanum lycopersicum (tomato)
Lineage: Eukaryota; Viridiplantae; Streptophyta; Magnoliopsida; Solanales; Solanaceae
Source: RefSeq, a predicted model, not a curated record